ACACUCCUGCGGGAGGCAGCAGUGGGGAAUUUUGGACAAUGGGCGAAAGCCUGAUCCAGCAAUGCCGCGUGAGUGAAGAAGGCCUUCGGGUUGUAAAGCUCUUUUGUCAGGGAAGAAACGGUGAAAGCUAAUAUCUUUUGCUAAUGACGGUACCUGAAGAAUAAGCACCGGCUAACUACGUGCCAGCAGCCGCGGUAAUACGUAGGGUGCAAGCGUUAAUCGGAAUUACUGGGCGUAAAGCGUGCGCAGGCGGUUUUGUAAGUCUGAUGUGAAAUCCCCGGGCUCAACCUGGGAAUUGCAUUGGAGACUGCAAGGCUAGAAUCUGGCAGAGGGGGGUAGAAUUCCACGUGUAGCAGUGAAAUGCGUAGAUAUGUGGAGGAACACCGAUGGCGAAGGCAGCCCCCUGGGUCAAGAUGGACGCUCAUGCACGAAAGCGUGGGGAGCAAACAGGAUUAGAAACCCUAGUAGUCCCA
Molecule: ribosomal RNA, 473 nt
Filed under: uncultured organism
Description: partial 16S ribosomal RNA
Rfam family: Bacterial small subunit ribosomal RNA
Source: RNAcentral